CACCAGAUUCCAGGCAGAGGGACAGAUCAUCGUAUGGCGCCACGUUAUGAAGAAGUGGAACGUCAGUAUGCCUCCUUACCAAGGAAGAGACCUCCGUGGAUAGUUCUGCUCACGGUACACACCUCCUGAACAUCUGGAUUUAAAAAAAACAAGAAGAUGGACCGCGCUUCAUACAUUUCAACAGUUGCAGCUGUGAAAUGUUAACAUCUGGCAACAGUCUAAUGACCAUCUGCUGUUCCUGCGCUGCUACAAGCUUCUUCUUUCUUCCAGGAAUUCUCGAAGUUCUAUUGGACAGUUAAAUGAUAAUAAAUGUGUUUCUGCAUGCAUGCAAAGUUCUGUCUCCCAAUUACAUACAUUAUGAAAGCCAACAUGAUGAGUGUGUGUAAAAACUGAGCUCAUAUCAAAUUGUUUGAUGCCAAAUGGAAUGCACAGUAAGUUGUUAUGAUGA
Non-coding RNA from Epinephelus lanceolatus (giant grouper), 448 nucleotides. The record is from RefSeq and is a predicted model, not a curated record. Lineage: Eukaryota; Metazoa; Chordata; Actinopteri; Perciformes; Serranidae.